Molecule: non-coding RNA, 28 nt
Filed under: Bombyx mori (domestic silkworm)
Lineage: Eukaryota; Metazoa; Arthropoda; Insecta; Lepidoptera; Bombycidae
Source: RNAcentral
ACGACGCAAGAUAAUUGACAGAUGCCUG